RNAcentral lists this ribosomal RNA (756 nucleotides) under Marinobacter sp. RNAcentral describes it as "bacterial SSU rRNA". It matches the Rfam family "Bacterial small subunit ribosomal RNA", at positions 56 to 804 of the family's 1533-position model. Lineage: Bacteria; Pseudomonadati; Pseudomonadota; Gammaproteobacteria; Pseudomonadales; Marinobacteraceae. The record is from RNAcentral.
UGCAGUCGAGCGGUAACAGGGGGAGCUUGCUCCCCGCUGACGAGCGGCGGACGGGUGAGUAAUGCUUAGGAAUCUGCCCAGUAGCGGGGGAUAGCCCGGGGAAACCCGGAUUAAUACCGCAUACGCCCUUCGGGGGAAAGCAGGGGAUCUUCGGACCUUGCGCUAUUGGAUGAGCCUAAGUCGGAUUAGCUAGUUGGUGGGGUAAAGGCCUACCAAGGCGACGAUCCGUAGCUGGUCUGAGAGGAUGAUCAGCCACAUCGGGACUGAGACACGGCCCGAACUCCUACGGGAGGCAGCAGUGGGGAAUAUUGGACAAUGGGGGCAACCCUGAUCCAGCCAUGCCGCGUGUGUGAAGAAGGCUUUCGGGUUGUAAAGCACUUUCAGUGAGGAGGAAGGCCUAAAGGUUAAUACCCUUUAGGAUUGACGUUACUCACAGAAGAAGCACCGGCUAACUCCGUGCCAGCAGCCGCGGUAAUACGGAGGGUGCAAGCGUUAAUCGGAAUUACUGGGCGUAAAGCGCGCGUAGGUGGUUUGAUAAGCGAGAUGUGAAAGCCCCGGGCUUAACCUGGGAACGGCAUUUCGAACUGUCAGGCUAGAGUGUGGUAGAGGGUAGUGGAAUUUCCUGUGUAGCGGUGAAAUGCGUAGAUAUAGGAAGGAACACCAGUGGCGAAGGCGGCUACCUGGACCAACACUGACACUGAGGUGCGAAAGCGUGGGGAGCAAACANGAUUAGAUACCCUGGUAGUCCACGCCGUA